GCUUCAUAAUAGAUGUGAACUUACAAAUUGCUUAUCUCUCUUGGGAAAAAGGAAUCACCGAAUGGAAAGCUAUAUAGAGAAAGGAAGGAACGAAUGAGGAGGAAAGAGAUACAAGAGGAUAGACAAGAGAGAUAGAAAGAUGACUGAGAUCUCACUUCCAAGAUCGAUGCGGUUCUUAUUGUUGUUGUCCUUAAUUUUUGAACAAAUAUUCACAGGAUGGAGCAUAAUCACAUGGAGUUGCUACAAAAUCUUGUAAUCUGUUUGAUUUUUGUAAUGUUGUUGAUCUUGAAGUUAGGAACAUUAUGUUUUGAGUACUAGCACGAUUUAGACUUAUUAUUUUUUUAAUGACAUUUGUGUUUUAGUUAUUGAGAAUAUUGUUAUAGGAAAAGUUUGAAUUGAAGUAAAGAUGUUGUGUUUUACAUUUA
Lactuca sativa (garden lettuce) is the source of this 425-nucleotide non-coding RNA. Lineage: Eukaryota; Viridiplantae; Streptophyta; Magnoliopsida; Asterales; Asteraceae. The record is from RefSeq and is a predicted model, not a curated record.